UACGUAGGGGGCAAGCGUUGUCCGGAAUCGUUGGGCGUAAAGAGCGUGUAGGCGGCCCGGUAAGUCCGCUGUGAAAGUCCAGGGCUCAACCCUGGGAUGCCGGUGGAUACUGUCGGGCUCGAGUCCGGAAGAGGAGUGUGGAAUUCCUGGUGUAGCGGUGAAAUGCGCAGAUAUCAGGAGGAACACCAAUGGCGAAGGCAGCACUCUGGGACGUGACUGACGCUGAGACGCGAAAGCGUGGGGAGCAAACGGG
This 253-nucleotide ribosomal RNA is filed under the name uncultured bacterium. RNAcentral's name for it is "partial 16S ribosomal RNA". It matches the Rfam family "Bacterial small subunit ribosomal RNA", at positions 524 to 776 of the family's 1533-position model. The record is from RNAcentral.